Molecule: ribosomal RNA, 504 nt
Filed under: Euglesa obtusalis
Lineage: Eukaryota; Metazoa; Mollusca; Bivalvia; Venerida; Sphaeriidae
Description: Pisidium obtusale partial large subunit ribosomal RNA
Rfam family: Bacterial large subunit ribosomal RNA
Source: RNAcentral
UCGCCCUCCGUUUAUUUUUAUGGGGGGUCGGACCUGCCCGGUGAUUAGUCAAGUUUCAAAGUUAUAAUAUAAUUAGAAAUUUUUUUAAACGGCUGCAAUUAAUAAUUGUGCUAAGGUAGCGUAAUCAUUUGCCCCUUAAUUAGGGGAAGGUAUGAAUGGUUUGACGUGGGAAAAGCUGUCUCUUUUGUAUAAAAAGAAGUUUAUUUUUGAGUGAAAAAGCUUAAAUGUUUAUAAAAGACGAGAAGACCCUAUCGAACUUGAAUUAUAUAUUUAAAUUUUUAAAUAUAAAAAGUUUAGUUGGGGAAACUUAAAGUUAAAAAAAACGCUUUUUUGUUAUAAAAUGAUCCUGUAUUAUAGAAAAAUGAAAAAGUUACCGUAGGGAUAACAGCGCUUUCUUCUCUGAGAGGACUAAUUAAAGAGUUGGUUGCGACCUCGAUGUUGGAUUAAGGUUUCUUUUUGGGGUAGGAGUUAAAAUAGUAAAACUGUUCGUUUUUUAAAACCUUA